UGCCGGCGACCGGCGACGGGUGCGUAACGCGUAUGUAACCUACCUUUGACAGGGGGAUAACAUCGAGAAAUUGGUACUAAUACCCCAUAACAUCACCGGAGGCAUCUUCGGUGGUUGAAAACUCAGGUGGUCAGAGAUGGACAUGCGUUGUAUUAGCUAGUUGGUGAGGUAACGGCUCACCAAGGCGACGAUACAUAGGGGGACUGAGAGGUUAACCCCCCACAUUGGUACUGAGACACGGACCAAACUCCUACGGAAGGCAGCAG
This 266-nucleotide ribosomal RNA is filed under the name uncultured bacterium. RNAcentral's name for it is "partial 16S ribosomal RNA". It matches the Rfam family "Bacterial small subunit ribosomal RNA", at positions 86 to 354 of the family's 1533-position model. The record is from RNAcentral.